CCCGCCUGCCCUGUGACCAUGUGUUUAACGGCCGCGGUAUUUUGACCGUGCGAAGGUAGCGCAAUCACUUGUCUUUUAAAUGAAGACCUGUAUGAAUGGCAUAACGAGGGCUAAGCUGUCUCCUUUUUCCAGUCAAUGAAAUUGAUCUACCCGUGCAGAAGCGAGUAUAAAAACAUUAGACGAGAAGACCCUAUGGAGCUUAAGACACCAGGACAGCCUAUGUUAAAAACCCUCAGUAAAGAGACCAAACCAAACAGCCCCUGUCCCCCUGUCUUUGGUUGGGGCGACCGCGGGGUAAAAAACAACCCCCACGUGGAACAAGGACACCUCCUUUGAAGCCAGGGCCACAGCCCUAAUAAACAGAACAUCUGACCAGCAAGAUCCGGCACCGCCGAUCAACGGACCCAGUUACCCUAGGGAUAACAGCGCAAUCCUCUUAUAGAGCCCCUAUCGACAAGAGGGUUUACGACCUCGAUGUUGGAUCAGGACAUCCUAAUGGUGCAGCCGCUAUUAAGGGUUCGUUUGUUCAACGAUUAAAGUCCUACGUGAUCUG
RNAcentral lists this ribosomal RNA (553 nucleotides) under Gobiomorus dormitor (bigmouth sleeper). RNAcentral's name for it is "partial 16S ribosomal RNA". It matches the Rfam family "Bacterial large subunit ribosomal RNA", at positions 1854 to 2607 of the family's 2925-position model. The record is from RNAcentral. Lineage: Eukaryota; Metazoa; Chordata; Actinopteri; Gobiiformes; Eleotridae.